GAGCUGUGAGGAAGUUUGUGCUUCUUUGUGAUAGAUGGGUCUUUCACUACCGUCAAUUCGACGAUUCAGCAGUAUAUCUGAGCUC
Molecule: small nucleolar RNA, 85 nt
Organism: Mercurialis annua (annual mercury)
Lineage: Eukaryota; Viridiplantae; Streptophyta; Magnoliopsida; Malpighiales; Euphorbiaceae
Product: small nucleolar RNA snoR114
Exons: 1
Source: RefSeq, a predicted model, not a curated record